ACGCUCGACACCUACGGGAGGCAGCAGUGGGAAUAUUGCACAAUGGGGGAAACCCUGAUGCAGCGACGCCGCGUGAGUGAAGAAGUAUUUCGGUAUGUAAAGCUCUAUCAGCAGGGAAGAAGAUGACGGUACCUGAGUAAGAAGCCCCGGCUAACUACGUGCCACAGCCGCGGUAAUCUGAGCGGCUGGCAAGGC
This 195-nucleotide ribosomal RNA is filed under the name uncultured bacterium. RNAcentral's name for it is "partial 16S ribosomal RNA". It matches the Rfam family "Bacterial small subunit ribosomal RNA", at positions 328 to 539 of the family's 1533-position model. The record is from RNAcentral.